Molecule: ribosomal RNA, 293 nt
Filed under: uncultured prokaryote
Description: partial 16S ribosomal RNA
Rfam family: Archaeal small subunit ribosomal RNA
Source: RNAcentral
GUGUCAGCAGCCGCGGUAAUACCGGCAGCACAAGUGAUGACCGCUAUUAUUGGGCCUAAAGCGUCCGUAGCUGGCCACGCAAGUUCAUCGGGAAAUCUGCGCGCUUAACGCGCAGGCGUCCGGUGGAAACUGCAUGGCUUGGGACCGGAAGACCAGAGGGGUACGUCCGGGGUAGGAGUGAAAUCCCGUAAUCCUGGACGGACCACCGGUGGCGAAAGCGCCUCUGGAAGACGGAUCCGACGGUGAGGGACGAAAGCUCGGGUCACGAACCGGAUUAGAAACCCCCGUAGUCC